RNAcentral lists this transfer RNA (74 nucleotides) under Planctomycetota bacterium. RNAcentral describes it as "tRNA-Arg". It matches the Rfam family "tRNA". Rfam says of the family: Transfer RNA (tRNA) molecules are approximately 80 nucleotides in length. Their secondary structure includes four short double-helical elements and three loops (D, anti-codon, and T loops). Further hydrogen bonds mediate the characteristic L-shaped molecular structure. tRNAs have two regions of fundamental functional importance: the anti-codon, which is responsible for specific mRNA codon recognition, and the 3' end, to which the tRNAs corresponding amino acid is attached (by aminoacyl-tRNA synthetases). tRNAs cope with the degeneracy of the genetic code in two manners: having more than one tRNA (with a specific anti-codon) for a particular amino acid; and 'wobble' base-pairing, i.e. permitting non-standard base-pairing at the 3rd anti-codon position. RNAcentral also lists the same sequence under 2 other names. Lineage: Bacteria; Pseudomonadati; Planctomycetota. The record is from RNAcentral.
GCGCCCGUAGCUCAGUCGGAUAGAGCACCGGUUUCCUAAACCGGUGGUCGGAGGUUCGAGUCCUCCCGGGCGCG